UAUUAUAUGUUCAAUCUGUGGAUGGCUCAUUAAACCAGUGAUAAUUUGUCAGGUUUACUAUGACGGAUAUCCCAGGCAAAUCUUGGACUAAUACGUGUAACAAUGAUAAGCUCUAACUCUAUCAGGGAGGAGUGUGCUUAUGAAUCGAAAACCAAUGUAUGAACUUGUUCAUGCUUUUGAAUUGAAGAAACAUAACUUCACUGUUCGUGACGAAAGUUGCGACUUGGCUGAUAGGCCACUGCCCCAUCAACUUUAUACUUGGGUAUAGACUAAGUAUGGUUACAACGGGUAACGGGGAAUGAAGGUUUGAUUCCGGAGAGGCAGCCUGAGAAACGGCUACCGGCCCUAAGGGGGACAGCAGGCGCGAAAAUUACCCAAUGCUGACUCAGUGAGGUAGUGACGAUAAAUAACAAUCCGAGUAUUUUUAAUACUUGGAAUUGGAAUGAGAAAACAUUAAAUAACUUAACGAAAUCUAUUGGAGGGCAAGUCUGGUGCCAGCAGCCGCGGUAAUUCCAGCUCCAAUAGCGUAUAUUUAAAUUGCUGUGGUUAAAACGCCCGUAGUUAAACUUGUUGGGGCAAAAGGUGAUAAAGUCAGUUUAAAUGUCUAACAAAGAUAUACUUGUACUUUUAUUUAACCCCCCGAGCAGCAAAUUUUAAGUCUUUUGACUUUGGGUUUGGUUUUAACGCCGUCAACAACUCGGCUGUUAACCAUCCAACUAAAUUACCUCUUGUAGGUGUAGUUAAUAGACAUUUACCUUGAUUUAAUCAAAGCGUUCAAAGCAGGCAUUAAUUGCUCGAAUGUAUUAGCAUGGAAUAAUAUAAGAAGACUUGUGACAAUUUUGUUGGUUUUAAGACCACAAGUAAUGAUUGAUGGGAUAGGUUCGGGACAUUAGUAUUUACUCGCUAGAGGUGAAAUUCUUGGAUUGAGUAAGGACUAUCUACAGCGAAAGCAUCUGUCAGGGACCUAUUCAUCGAUCAAGGACGAAAGUUGGGGGAUCCAAGAUGAUUAGAUACCGUCGUAGUCCUAACCCUAAUCUUUGCCAACUCUGAGUUGGUGAAACAUUUACAAGAUCAUCAUCUCCCCCGAGAAAUCAUAAGUU
RNAcentral lists this ribosomal RNA (1100 nucleotides) under Batkoa major. Its description in RNAcentral is "bacterial SSU rRNA". It matches the Rfam family "Eukaryotic small subunit ribosomal RNA", at positions 72 to 1105 of the family's 1831-position model. The record is from RNAcentral. Lineage: Eukaryota; Fungi; Entomophthoromycota; Entomophthoromycetes; Entomophthorales; Batkoaceae.